Molecule: small nucleolar RNA, 136 nt
Organism: Vulpes vulpes (red fox)
Lineage: Eukaryota; Metazoa; Chordata; Mammalia; Carnivora; Canidae
Gene: U8
Rfam family: U8 small nucleolar RNA
About the family: U8 is a member of the C/D class of snoRNA which contain the C (UGAUGA) and D (CUGA) box motifs. U8 is the RNA component of a small complex (the U8 snoRNP) which is required for accumulation of mature large subunit ribosomal RNAs, 5.8S and 28S rRNAs. U8 RNA has been identified in human, mouse, rat and Xenopus.
Source: Ensembl
UCGUCGGGGAGGAUCAUCCUUACCUGUUCCCCCUUCGGGAGGGCAGAUGCCAACGUGAUGAUCAGAGCUCGCGUGAUUCGUGGUUAGUGUCUCGGUGUGGCCAGGACCUGUAGCACCCUGGACACUCCUGUAUGAU